Molecule: ribosomal RNA, 338 nt
Filed under: uncultured bacterium
Lineage: Bacteria
Description: bacterial SSU rRNA
Rfam family: Bacterial small subunit ribosomal RNA
Source: RNAcentral
UCGGGAAUUUUGGGCAAUGGGCGAAAGCCUGACCCAGCAACGCCGCGUGAAGGAUGAAGUAUUUCGGUAUGUAAACUUCGAAAGAAUAGGAAGAAUAAAUGACGGUACUAUUUAUAAGGUCCGGCUAACUACGUGCCAGCAGCCGCGGUAAUACGUAGGGACCAAGCGUUGUUCGGAUUUACUGGGCGUAAAGGGCGCGUAGGCGGCAAUUCAAGUCAUCUGUGAAAUCUCCGGGCUUAACUCGGAACGGUCAGAUGAUACUGCUUUGCUAGAGUGCAGAAGGGGCAAUCGGAAUUCUUGGUGUAGCGGUGAAAUGCGUAGAUAUCAAGAGGAACACC